UUUCCAUUCACUGCAGGUAUACCGUCAUGACAUCCAGUGAGCAUCUUCUGAACAAGUAUAAAACAGGUGGUAAGGAUUUGAUUUUGACUAAAUUUGAUCCCCACAUGGUUGAAGGUCACAGGGAUCUAUCUUCUCUCAUUUCUACGACCUUUAUUUUUCCACUUCAGUUCCAUCUCUCUCACCUUCAAUUCUUUCAAUCUCUAUCACAAUCUUCGUGCGGUUCGCAGUCUUCAGUGCCUGAGUCCUUCAAAGUGCCGCACAAGGUGUAAGGUCACGAUUGCUUGGUUUCAUGUCGCUUUGAGCAUGAUUUUUCGUUGAUUACAAUUUUGCAAGAGGAAGUUUAGCAUCAUGUGUAGAAGGUGGACAAGACACAAUGAAUUGAAUCUGAGACUAAUCUGUCGAUGGGAUUUUUGCGCCUUUGCAUUGUGAGGAAGUUGGGCAAAAUGCUUCGGCGUCUGGAAUUCUAGACGACA
RNAcentral lists this long non-coding RNA (473 nucleotides) under Physcomitrium patens. Its description in RNAcentral is "long non-coding RNA (PPAT_LNC003748)". Lineage: Eukaryota; Viridiplantae; Streptophyta; Bryopsida; Funariales; Funariaceae. The record is from RNAcentral.